This is a long non-coding RNA of Mytilus trossulus (common blue mussel), 216 nucleotides long. RefSeq lists it as uncharacterized. The transcript is spliced from 3 exons. Lineage: Eukaryota; Metazoa; Mollusca; Bivalvia; Mytilida; Mytilidae. The record is from RefSeq and is a predicted model, not a curated record.
CCUCUGCGCAAGACAGUACAGAUCACAAUGAUGAAUCAGAUGCGAAAAAGUCCGACACUGAUAAUAAAAAGCCCUCUACGCAAGACAGUGCAGAUCACAGUGAUGGAUUAGAUGCGAAAAAGUCCGAAAGUGAUAAUAAAAAUCCCUCUGCGCAAGACAGUACAGAUCACAAUGAUGAAUCAGAUGGGAAAAAGUCCGACACUGAUAAUAAAAAGC